AACCGGAUUAGAUACCCUGGUAGUCCACGCCCUAAACGAUGUCUACUAGUUGUCGGGUUUUAAUUAACUUGGUAACGCAGCUAACGCGUGAAGUAGACCGCCUGGGGAGUACGGUCGCGAGAUUAAAACUCAAAGGAAUUGACGGGGACCCGCACAAGCGGUGGAUGAUGUGGAUUAAUUCGAUGCAACGCGAAAAACCUUACCUACCCUUGACGUGUACGGAAGACCGAAGAGAUUUGGUUGUGCUCGAAAGAGAGCCGUAACACAGGUGCUGCAUGGCUGUCGUCAGCUCGUGUCGUGAGAUGUUGGGUUAAGUCCCGCAACGAGCGCAACCCUUGUCAUUAGUUGCUACAUUUAGUUGAGCACUCUAAUGAGACUGCCGGUGACAAACCGGAGGAAGGUGGGGAUGACGUCAAGUCCUCAUGGCCCUUAUGGGUAGGGCUUCACACGUCAUACAAUGGUACAUACAGAGGGCCGCCAACCCGCGAGGGGGAGCUAAUCCCAGAAAGUGUAUCGUAGUCCGGAUCGCAGUCUGCAACU
This 540-nucleotide ribosomal RNA is filed under the name uncultured bacterium. RNAcentral describes it as "bacterial SSU rRNA". It matches the Rfam family "Bacterial small subunit ribosomal RNA", at positions 771 to 1312 of the family's 1533-position model. The record is from RNAcentral.